CCUACGGGGGGCAGCAGUAGGGAAUCUUCCACAAUGGGCGAAAGCCUGAUGGAGCAACGCCGCGUGGGUGAAGAAGGUCUUCGGAUCGUAAAACUCUGUUGUUAGAGAAGAAAGUGCGUGAGAGUAACUGUUCACGUUUCGACGGUAUCUAACCAGAAAGCCACGGCUAACUACGUGCCAGCAGCCGCGGUAAUACGUAGGUGGCAAGCGUUAUCCGGAUUUAUUGGGCGUAAAGGGAACGCAGGCGGGCUGUUAAGUCUGAUGUGAAAGCCUUCGGCUUAACCGGAGUAGUGCAUUGGAAACUGGGAGACUUGAGUGCAGAAGAGGAGAGUGGAACUCCAUGUGUAGCGGUGAAAUGCGUAGAUAUAUGGAAGAACACCAGUGGCGAAAGCGGCUCUCUGGUCUGUAACUGACGCUGAGGUUCGAAAGCGUGGGUAGCAAACAGGAUUAGAUACCCGAGUAGUA
RNAcentral lists this ribosomal RNA (465 nucleotides) under uncultured bacterium. Its description in RNAcentral is "partial 16S ribosomal RNA". It matches the Rfam family "Bacterial small subunit ribosomal RNA", at positions 338 to 795 of the family's 1533-position model. The record is from RNAcentral.